GUCGUACGCUAGCCGCUGAAUUGAUCCUUCGGGUGAAGUGAGGCAAUGACUAGAGUGGCGAACUGGUGAGUAACACGUAAGAAACCUGCCCUUUAGUGGGGGAUAACAUUUGGAAACAGAUGCUAAUACCGCGUAACAACAAAUCACACAUGUGAUCUGUUUGAAAGGUCCUUUUGGAUCGCUAGAGGAUGGUCUUGCGGCGUAUUAGCUUGUUGGUAGGGUAGAAGCCUACCAAGGCAAUGAUGCGUAGCCGAGUUGAGAGACUGGCCGGCCACAUUGGGACUGAGACACUGCCCAAACUCCUACGGGAGGCUGCAGUAGGGAAUUUUCCGCAAUGCACGAAAGUGUGACGGAGCGACGCCGCGUGUGUGAUGAAGGCUUUCGGGUCGUAAAGCACUGUUGUAAGGGAAGAAUAACUGAAUUCAGAGAAAGUUUUCAGCUUGACGGUACCUUACCAGAAAGGGAUGGCUAAAUACGUGCCAGCAGCCGCGGUAAUACGUAUGUCCCGAGCGUUAUCCGGAUUUAUUGGGCGUAAAGCGAGCGCAGACGGUUUAUUAAGUCUGAUGUGAAAUCCCGAGGCCCAACCUCGGAACUGCAUUGGAACUGAAGGAUCA
This 614-nucleotide ribosomal RNA is filed under the name Oenococcus oeni. Its description in RNAcentral is "bacterial SSU rRNA". It matches the Rfam family "Bacterial small subunit ribosomal RNA", at positions 48 to 643 of the family's 1533-position model. The record is from RNAcentral. Lineage: Bacteria; Bacillati; Bacillota; Bacilli; Lactobacillales; Lactobacillaceae.